Molecule: ribosomal RNA, 433 nt
Filed under: uncultured bacterium
Lineage: Bacteria
Description: partial 16S ribosomal RNA
Rfam family: Bacterial small subunit ribosomal RNA
Source: RNAcentral
AACGAACGCUGGCGGCAUGCCUAACACAUGCAAGUCGAACGAGACCUUCGGGUCUAGUGGCGCACGGGUGCGUAACGCGUGGGAACCUGCCCUUAGGUUCGGAAUAACUCUCCGAAAGGGGUGCUAAUACCGGAUAAUGUCUUCGGACCAAAGAUUUAUCGCCUUUGGAUGGGCCCGCGUUGGAUUAGCUAGUUGGUAGGGUAAAAGCCUACCAAGGCGACGAUCCAUAGCUGGUCUGAGAGGAUGGUCAGCCACACUGGGACUGAGACACGGCCCAGACUCCUACGGGAGGCAGCAGUGGGGAAUAUUGGAAAAUGGGCGAAAGCCUGAUCCAGCAAUGCCGCGUGAGUGAUGAAGGCCUUAGGGUUGUAAAGCUCUAUUACCCGGGAUGAUAAUGACAGUACCGGGAGAAUAAGCUCCGGCUAACUCCGUG